RNA transcript from Juglans regia (Persian walnut), 2086 nucleotides. It is a transcript of the gene named serine/arginine-rich-splicing factor SR34-like, with no coding region annotated. NCBI's taxonomy places the organism in Eukaryota, Viridiplantae, Streptophyta, Magnoliopsida, Fagales, Juglandaceae. The record is from RefSeq and is a predicted model, not a curated record. The transcript is spliced from 14 exons.
ACGUAUAAGCGACGUAUAAUCGUACAUUUGGGUAAAAUAUUAUCUUUACCUAAGCACAAAACGUUUACUUAUCCUGCAUUGUUUGUGCCUCUCCCUCAUUCCCCCGACUCAAAACCCUAACCAGAUCCUUUCGUAGCCUCUGCGCUGUGAAGGAAAAAUGAGUAGCCGUGCGAGCCGGACUCUCUAUGUCGGCAAUCUUCCAGCUGAUAUUCGUGAGAGAGAAGUGGAGGACUUGUUCUACAAGUAUGGACGCAUAGCCCACAUCGAUCUGAAGGUACCGCCUAGGCCCCCGGGUUAUGCAUUUGUUGAGUUUGAAGAUGCUCAAGAUGCUGAAGAUGCCAUUCGUGGUCGUGAUGGCUAUGAUUUUGAUGGGCAUCGGCUACGGGUGGAACUUGCACAUGGUGGCCGUGGGCAUUCAUCAUCAAGAGAUCGUUAUAGUAGUCAUAGUAGUGGGCGGAGUGGACGUGGUGGAGUAUCCAGGCGCUCUGAAUUUCGUGUUCUCGUCACUGGAUUGCCCCCUUCUGCUUCAUGGCAAGACCUUAAGGAUCACAUGCGACAAGCUGGGGAUGUUUGUUUCUCCCAAGUCUUCCGUGAGAAUGGCACAACAGGGGUUGUGGAUUACACAAACUAUGAAGACAUGAAGUAUGCAGUAAAAAAACUUGAUGACUCUGAGUUCCGAAAUGCAUUUUCUAAGGCAUAUGUCCGUGUUAGGGAAUAUGAUUCGAAGAGGGAUGCCUCUAGGAGCCCUAGUCGUGGUCGAUCUUAUUCGAGAGGCAAGAGCCAUAGCCGCAGUCAUAGUCGUAGCCGAAGUAUUAGUCACGGCAAGAGCAAGAGCAAGUCUCCAAAAACCAAAUCUUCUCGCCGCUCACCUGCUAGAGAGCAGUCGAGAUCUGUCUCUCGAUCUCGCUCCCGUUCUCCUGCUGGAUCAAAGUCUCGUUCUAUGUCAGGAUGUGGAUACAUGCAGCGAAGUGGGGAUUGGAAAUUAGGAUCUUGAUGGGAUAUGGUUCAGUUGCCUGCAACUCUUUUGGUUGUGGAGGUAUGCUGUUUUUUAGAUGGGCAGCUUUGGAAACCUUGAUGGUGCCUCUUUGUUCUAAUUCUUUUAGCAUUGCAAAUGUCCAUGGGUGCUAGAUUGGGAACAAAGGAGAUCAUGGUUGCAAUUUUUAAAGCUGGAUAUCUGUGAACUAAGUGCCAUUGGGAUUUGAAUAGCACCAACAAUGAGCAGUAGAGACGAUUUCAUUAUCAUUUUCUGCUCCAACAUUUGCCAAGCUAAUAGGCCGCACUAUCUGGCUUCUCUGGAUUUUUGUGGUACAGUAGGGACAAAUUCUCUUCCCUGUCAGUCCACUGGUGUCUUGAAAAUACCUUGUGAUGCUUUCAUUAAGAUAUUGUCUUUAUGAAUUUAGGUUGCAUUUAUAGGCUGGAAUUAUAUAUAUUGGCCUGAUAUUUUUCUUUGUUGAACUGCUAAAUAUUUAUGGCUUUUCCAUGUAUCCAUUUGAAUAUGGUAACUCCGUGGAAGAGGCAUCAAGGGCUCUUGGAUCAAAUUUGGUAAAAGGAACGUGUGGAUUUUAAAAUGGGUUGUUUCUGGAACUUUUGCAGAUCUCGAUCAAGAUCCAGAUCUCCAGUGCCUUCGCAUCAGAAACGAAAGAGUAAAAGCCCAAAGAGGCACAGUGCAAGCAGGAGCCCGAGCAGGAGCAGGAGCAGGAGCAAGAGUUUAUCCAGGUGAGAUCUGAUUGCAGCUGAUCUGUUGAUUCCUGAAGAUUCUCUGAGUGUGCCUUUUUAUUGUUGAAAAAAACUUUACCAGUAAAGUAUCCUAGGCAAGCAAUAGCAGACCUAUCAUGGGCAGACUUCAGACUGGAUUUUGUGGUGGUUUUCUAAACUGUCAAAAUUAUUUCUAAAUCUUUUUGAAGCCUCUAGAUUGAAACUUGCACAUUCACCAUAUUUGUAUUCCAUAUGAGAUUUGCUAAAUUCCAGCUUUUCAUAAGUUUAGGGUGUUGGAUAUUGAUACCUCGUCCUCUUUCUUUAUACUGUAAUCAUUAUUAUAUGUAAAUUUUCUGUGUUUAUGGGUAAGGAUUUAUUGAUUGCUGUAAAA